Molecule: long non-coding RNA, 1315 nt
Filed under: Elaeis guineensis (African oil palm)
Lineage: Eukaryota; Viridiplantae; Streptophyta; Magnoliopsida; Arecales; Arecaceae
Description: long non-coding RNA (EGUI_LNC048545)
Source: RNAcentral
CCGGCAGCAAUCCGUCUGGGUUUCCACCAGGUGCCCACGUGUUCACCCUCCAACGUUGAUCCACACGGAGACUCGACCAACCCACUAGCACCUAUUUAAAUAUUCUCUAUAAUUAAAUUCUGAUUUAUCAGAAUUUAAAUGCAAUUUGGGCAGAACCUCCUUUCUUGGCUUUGCUGUCACACUGUUGGACCUUUUCUUGCCUUCCUUUCUUGCUCCUUGUCUCUUUAAUUUUUAUUCCAAUUCUCUAAGCCAUUUUGGAAGACUUCUUGUCUUUUAUCAGGAUCUUAUCUAGGCUAGAGAGAAAGAAUAAAGAAAAUUGGACAAUAAAAGCCUCUUGUAAGAAAAAAGGAAGAAUUCUGAAUGCACAAAGACUCCUCGGUGUGCACCCCUAUUUAUAUUGCACGUAGGGGUGCAAACCAAAACAUCUCACGCCCACUCACACUUUAUCUCAUGCCCUCUUUCUAUUUCUCAUGCCCCAUAAAUUGUAAAAUGCCAUGUGUACAUCAAAGUUGGGUUGAAGAGGCGCCUUAUUUCAGAAGGACUCUUCGAUCUUAACUUACGGUGUUCACAUGAGAAGUCACAAAGCUUCUCUUAUUGGUGCCAUCAACCCAUGCCUUUGGAUCUAGAAGGAAGCCCAUCCAAUGGCCAAGAUAGAGGGUGCCAACUUGAGGAAGGGCGCAAGAGAUUAAGGGGCAUGGAUAAGUUAAAACUUAUCUCCCCAUUUGAAAUUUCCAAAGGGCGCUUCCAAGGGGUGGCGCAUGGAUUUAAUCCUUAUCUCUUCUCCUAAUUUUUCUACGAUGGGUUUAAUACUCAGAAGGACUCUUAGGUGCCUCCUAAGAUAUUUGAAAACCAUUCGUAGAAUAAAAGUCACGGAGAAAAAUAAGAAAGACAAAGUUAAGGGGUGUCAUCUCCCAUCCAUGCGCCAUGUGACACAUGCGCAUGGAUUUAAAUUCUUACCACUUUUCCUAAUUUUUCUACGAGGAGUUUAAUACUCAGAAGGACUCUUAGGUGCCUCCUAAGACAUCUAAAAACCAUUCAUAGAAUAAAAACUAUGGAGAAAAAAUAGAUAAGACCAAAUUUAAGGUGGCGCCAACUCUAUCCAUGCGCCAUGUGGCUCAUGCGCAUGGAUUUAAAUCCACACGCCAAGAGAGAGACUCUUAGGUGUGUGGUUCUCUGGUUUUUGGCACCCAACAGCAAGCCCAAUUAAAACACUUCGAACCCAUUUCAAGACCAAAUCCAAUUUGGCUUAAAUUGGUUCUAAAUUAGCCCAAAUCGGAAUCCGAUUCGAAUUCGAUUCGAAUCUAAAUGCUAGGGU